GACGUAGGGGGCGAGCGUUAUCCGGAUUCACUGGGCGUAAAGGGCGCGCAGGUGGCUACGUAAGUCCGGCGUGAAAUCCCAUGGCUUAACUGUGGAACUGCGUCGGAUACUGCGUUGGCUAGAGGACGGUAGAGGCUUUUGGAACUAGCGGUGUAGCGGUGAAAUGCGCAGAUAUCGCUAGGAACGCCGGUGGCGAAGGCGGAAGGCUGGGCCGUUCCUGACACUGAGGCGCGAAAGCUAGGGGAGCGAACCGG
This 254-nucleotide ribosomal RNA is filed under the name uncultured bacterium. RNAcentral describes it as "partial 16S ribosomal RNA". It matches the Rfam family "Bacterial small subunit ribosomal RNA", at positions 524 to 776 of the family's 1533-position model. The record is from RNAcentral.